This 467-nucleotide ribosomal RNA is filed under the name uncultured bacterium. Its description in RNAcentral is "partial 16S ribosomal RNA". It matches the Rfam family "Bacterial small subunit ribosomal RNA", at positions 28 to 507 of the family's 1533-position model. The record is from RNAcentral.
GACGAACGCUGGCGGCGUGCUUAACACAUGCAAGUCGAACGGAAAGGCCCUGCUUUUGUGGGGUGCUCGAGUGGCGAACGGGUGAGUAACACGUGAGUAACCUGCCCUUGACUUUGGGAUAACUUCAGGAAACUGGGGUAAUACCCGAAAAGAACCUCUGCUGCCUGGGGGGGGGUGGGAAAUUUCGGCGGUUGGGGAUGGACUCGCGGCUUAUCAGCUUGUUGGUGGGGGAGUGGCUUACCAAGGCUUUGACGGGUAGCCGGCCUGAGAGGGUGACCGGCCACAUUGGGACUGAGAUACGGCCCAGACUCCUACGGGAGGCAGCAGUGGGGAAUAUUGCACAAUGGGCGGAAGCCUGAUGCAGCAACGCCGCGUGCGGGAUGACGGCCUUCGGGUUGUAAACCGCUUUCGCCUGUGACGAAGCGUGAGUGACGGUAAUGGGUAAAGAAGCACCGGCUAACUACGUG